CUCGCUGCAGACAUAUGACCUGUCAAAAGAUCCAAUAUAAGUGCCACAAUAUAGGGAGACUGAGAAUGGAAAGAAUAAAAAUUAUAUCUAAAGUUAAUAAUAUUAGCACCUCUACAGAUCUUUACAACAGGAAAUUCUCAAUAUAUGUGUUUUGUGAUAUUUAUCUUAUGUUAGAUGUCCUCCUUGACUGACACCAAAGUCUUUCAGAGAUACGUAUGCAUACACAUACAGAUACACAUCCAACAAGGGUAAAGGACAGAUGCAGAUUAGAUGCCUGUCUAUAAUUGGUUGAACACUUGCAAUUGUUUCUGUCCGUGUCCAAUGUUACAAGUCAACACCAGCAAAAGAGAUGCCACGUAUCUACAAACUUUAGCAAUGUGUCUAAAGUUCAGAUAGAGAUUGAUUAGGCCCAGAGGCAAAUCCUCAUAUUCCUAAAAGUCAAAAACCAACUGCACAUAUAACCAGCACCCCAGACUGAGCAAGUUAUGGAAAAAGUUAGCAGCCAUUUGAAUAUCCUUGCAUGGGCCACCAAAACUCAUAUGUAGCAUCUGCUUAACUUUACUACGUAAAGACAAAAUAAAGUUGAUUUUAACUUUCUGCUUUAGAGUGUUGG
This 613-nucleotide unclassified non-coding RNA is filed under the name Hevea brasiliensis (rubber tree). The record is from RNAcentral. Lineage: Eukaryota; Viridiplantae; Streptophyta; Magnoliopsida; Malpighiales; Euphorbiaceae.